UCGUAAGCGCGGAGGUGAAUAAAAACCUACCAGUUGUCGGGCCCAAACAACACGUCACGGCUCACAGCCUAUAAUACAUGUACUUCACAUGAAUGCAUUUCAGUUCUCAAGACAGACUGCGUUUACACGGCAACAAACGACCAACUUUCGCUAUGCAGUACGAGGACAUUUUGCAGCACAUUGGCCAUUUUGGCAAAUACCAAAAACGGUUUGUUGUGCUUCUGUCCCUGAUACAACUCCCAACGAUAUUUCAUUUCUUAGCUCAGGUGUUUCUGGCGGCCAACGCCGAUCAUUGGUGCCUGGUCCCGGCCAGCCAGGCCGUCAACUGCAGCCUGCUCCAGCUCGACUCGUCUGCCUGCCAGGAAGCACAGAAGAACCAGAGCAUCCCGUACGAGUUGGACUCCCAGGGAAGUCGAGUUUACUCCUCGUGUGAGCGAUACGUGUUAGAUGAUGAGGGAGAAGGCGACCAAGGUACCAACUCGACGGAUGUCGUCGCCUGUGAUGCUGGCUGGGAUUUCGAUCGAUCUCGCUACAUAUCCACCAUAAAUGAUGAGUUUAGCCUGGUUUGCGACCGGGAGGAUUUGGCAGGCCUGGCCCAGUCAGUCUGGUUUGCUGGUCUGCUGACGGGGUCCUUGGUAUGGGGUUCGGUGGGUGAUUGGUUGGGAAGAAGGAAGACAUCUUUCCUCAGCCUAGCCCUCGUCGCCGUCUCAUCAAUUGUGACGACCUUCGCUCCGAACUUCGCUGCUUUUGCCGCCUUGCGUUUCAUUACGGCAGCCUGUGCAUUCGGAGCCUUCCUCAUGACGUAUAUUAUCUCUUCGGAGAUAGUUGGACCGAGCAAGCGCGUGCUGGUCGGGACCGUGGCGGCAAUAUUCGCCUCCAUUGGCUACGUCAUCCUGUCCAUGCUUGCAUACUUUAUACGGGAUUGGCGCCACCUCCAAUUAGCAAUUUCGCUUCCAUAUGUUGUGGCGUUCCUACUCGUAUUAGUUGUGCCCGAGUCUCCCCGCUGGCUGAUUUCGAAGGGUCGCUUCAAAGAAGCCGAGAAAAUCAUCACAAAAAUCGCCAAAGUCAACGGCACCAAGGUUCCGGAAAACCUGUUUGAAAGUCUUGAGAACAUCCAGGAAAAUGAAACGGAUCCGAAGUCCAGCUCCGCUCGUCGGACGACCGUCUUGGAUCUUUUCCGGACCCCAAACAUCCGCAAGAAGACUCUGGUUAUCUUCUUCAACUGGUUUGUGACCAACAUGACGUACUAUGGGCUAUCCCUCAGCACCUCCUCACUGGGCAUAGAUGACUACGUGGCCGCCUUUGUAUCCGGUGCCUUGGAGGUACCAGCCGCCCUUUUUAACUGGUUCGUCAUGGAGAAAUUCGGCCGACGUUUCUCCCUGUCGGCUCUCUUUGUGUCCGGAGGCGUCUUCUGCCUGAUAACCACCUUCGUUCCUCUCGGUGCUGGCCGGGUCGCGGUGGCUAUGAUUGGCAAGUUCGCCAUUACUGCAGUAUUCAAUCACAUUUAUAUCUACAGUAGUGAGCUCUACCCGACCGUAAUCAGGGGUAUCGGCCUGGGAGCAUCUUCCAUGGUAGCCCGCGUGAGUGGGGUGCUUUGCCCCAUCAUCUUGAUCCUUGGCAAAUACUGGCAACCACUGCCUCUCUGUGUCUUCGGAGGCAGCUCCGUGCUGGCCGGGAUGCUGUCUCUGAUGCUGCCGGAGACCUUGGGCCGUGACAUGCCGGACACUAUUCAAGACGGAGAGCAAGCCGGGAUGGGUCCAGGGCUCAGUGUGUGCCGCAGGAAAGAUCUUAAAGACGGCCUUGACUCCAAACCUCCCGAGAACCACCUUCCACUCUCCACAAACAACAAAUCUGCGACUGAGCCGGUGGCGAUCUGAGGUCUGAAGUUAAAAGUCGAAGUCCCAAGCUGUCUUUGUCUUGUCAUUUUCUUAAUUGGUUCGUUGGCUAAGAAUCGCUGAAACAGUGUUAAGCUUUAUAUUACUGAAUGACUUUAAAAGAAGUAAAUGACAACCGUUUUAAACUUAUUUUUCUCAUUACCAGCUUCCUACUUCAUGAUUUACUUUUUUUCUGAAAAUUAAAACUAGUCGAUUAAAAAUAUAUGGUUCGUUAGUUAGUUAGUUCGUUAGUUCGUUCAAUUCAAUUCAAUAUUACAUUUAUUUCCAUACUGAAACAAUAAUAUAACAGAAGCAAAAUACAAUAUUGUGGAGGCACAAUCCUAAUAAGACAAGGUUUGUAGCUGAGUGCCUUUAGAAGAGAAAACAAAGACAUUUCGUUAGUUAGUUAGUUCGUAACAAACGUUGACAUUGUCCAUUGCUUCUACAUUUUUUGGACCGAUUUCAACCAAACUUUGUCAAACUUAGUAUCCGUGCUAGCACAGCCCCAACAUGUCACAUGACCAGACUGGGGUCAAAGGUCAUCAUGGGGUCCAGGUCAAAUAACGUCAAAUUUCAAAUAAGCUCUUGGCAAAUAACAAAAGCGCUGUCAAGAUGUUGGCCUUGGUCACACAUGUUUAAAAUAUCCAUGUGACCUCUUCGUCUGACCUACAGUUACGGGGUCAAAGGUCAAUAUAAGGUUAACACAUAUUCGUUGGCCCGCAGCUUCCGAGAUCCGAUCGAGCUUGUUUUAAUUUUAACUGAAACUUUGUAUAAAAACAAGUAAAGUUAUUUUAUAGAUUAUUUAUCACUUACAAAAUAUGUAAUUUAUUAUUUAUAUAGGAGAAACGUGGAAUACUGAUGCAGGUUUAUGUAUAGGUCUAGGGUUACUGCCAAAAAAAAAAAAUAAGUCGGUCUCUGGUCAGCGCGCGCGUCGAUUUUAAGCAUGCGCGUCGAUCUUUUUUUUUUUCCUAAAUGUUCCGCGGUAGCUCCAACA
This 2868-nucleotide unclassified non-coding RNA is filed under the name Patiria miniata (bat star). Its description in RNAcentral is "organic cation transporter protein-like, transcript variant X2". The record is from RNAcentral. Lineage: Eukaryota; Metazoa; Echinodermata; Asteroidea; Valvatida; Asterinidae.